CUUGAUUACUUUUUCCAUGUACAGGCAAGCCUUGGAGAUACUGCAGGCUUGGUUCCAGACCACUGCACUAAAGUGAAUAUCACAAUAAAGCAAGUCACACAAAUAUUUUUGUUUCCUGGUACAUAG
This is a long non-coding RNA of Aethalodelphis obliquidens (Pacific white-sided dolphin), 126 nucleotides long. RefSeq lists it as uncharacterized. The record is from RefSeq and is a predicted model, not a curated record. Lineage: Eukaryota; Metazoa; Chordata; Mammalia; Artiodactyla; Delphinidae. The transcript has 3 exons.